This 418-nucleotide ribosomal RNA is filed under the name uncultured Bacillota bacterium. Its description in RNAcentral is "bacterial SSU rRNA". It matches the Rfam family "Bacterial small subunit ribosomal RNA", at positions 945 to 1359 of the family's 1533-position model. The record is from RNAcentral. Lineage: Bacteria; Bacillati; Bacillota.
UUUAAUUCGACGCAACGCGAAGGACCUUACCAAGCCUUGACAUUGAUCGCAAGGAGUAGAGAUACUCUGUUCUUCUUCGGAAGACGAGAAAACAGGUGGUGCACGGCUGUCGUCAGCUCGUGUCGUGAGAUGUUGGGUUAAGUCCCGCAACGAGCGCAACCCCUAUCUUCUGUUACCAGCACGUAAGGGUGGGGACUCAGGAGAGACUGCCGCAGACAAUGCGGAGGAAGGCGGGGAUGACGUCAAGUCAUCAUGCCCCUUAUGGCUUAGGCUACACACGUACUACAAUGGCUCUUAAUAGAGGGAAGCGAAGGAGCGAUCCGGAGCAAACCCCAAAAACAGAGUCUCAGUUCGGAUUGUAGGCUGCAACUCGCCUACAUGAAGCAGGAAUCGCUAGUAAUCGCAGGUCAGCAUACUA